CACACGCACACACACACACGCACACACACACACACACACACACUGAUAACCGUGUGCCCGUCUGGCGUGACACAGCCCAGCAAACUACGGACUGGCUUUAUCUUUGGCUGCGUGAUUUCAUCAGCUUUACAACAGCCUCGCUGCUUACGCUUUCAUAUCCUGAAAUGAGAGAUGAGUCUGCUGGGAAGAUCUCAUAGUUUCUGAAUUUCCUCAGAAGGUCUGAUGGAGCAUCGCCUGACCAGCGGAAACGCAAGUGCCAGUAAUUCCCCUCUGAAAAUCCUGAGGG
Long non-coding RNA from Onychostruthus taczanowskii (white-rumped snowfinch), 286 nucleotides. RefSeq lists it as uncharacterized. The record is from RefSeq and is a predicted model, not a curated record. The transcript is spliced from 2 exons. Lineage: Eukaryota; Metazoa; Chordata; Aves; Passeriformes; Passeridae.